Pelodiscus sinensis (Chinese soft-shelled turtle) is the source of this 924-nucleotide long non-coding RNA. RefSeq lists it as uncharacterized. Lineage: Eukaryota; Metazoa; Chordata; Testudines; Trionychidae. The record is from RefSeq and is a predicted model, not a curated record.
CAGAGCUGAUGGCUGCAGGGGAAGGAGGUGGUGCAGGAACUCCAGGGGAGGAAGUGCAGCUGGACCAAACAGUGUGAGCCAGGCCAAGAGGGACUGUGGUGGAAGCCUCUGGCCCAGAGCAUGAAGAUGGAGAUGACUUCUUAUAAGAUACAGUCGCUCUACCAUGGAGCACCGAAAAGACCACAAGGAAUAUUUGAGGAUGAUGUACGAAGUGUGAUGAAGAAGCCUCUCUCUGUGACGCUGUGAUGUGACGAUUGAGCACAAUCCUGUUGUGACAAUUUCAUCCUUCCAACCCCCCAUGCUUUACGAAAUUGCCUUAUGGACACAAAUAUGCAUAACUCAGAGAUGCUGCAGACAAGAUACCUCAUGCAGCCUAUCAAUCUUACGUCACAAUCUGCUGGAUCUGUAGCUCUUAUUUUUGGUGUAGGAGUCACGCUUGUACGUAAAGUUAGAAAUGGGAAGCACAGACUGGUUUAUAGUUUUAAACGUGGGAAUGAAGCCAUCAAGGGUGUUUCCCUCCAUGUCUGGGUGAUGAUUUGUAAACAGCCCUUUUGUCCUUUAAGUCUCGGUAGUGGUUGGUCUUAGGAAGUCAUGUGACCUCCCUAACUUGGAGGAUCCGAGGAGAUAAUUUUCCAUGAAAGGGUGCAAGGCACAGACAAAGAAUUCCCACCUAAAAUGGGAGGCUAUUUAAAAUGCAACGUUUUUCAAUCCCUUUGUCUUGGUUGGCAUGUCACUCCCAAGAGACUGAACCAGAGACCCCAGGGAAAAAAGAUCUUCCCUGGUUUGAAGAUUUAGAUGAAAGAAGACCAGUUGUAGGGUAUUGUACUGAGCUUUUGGUGUUCAGACUAGUUCUGUGUGUUCUGUUGUUUUAAACUUGUAAUCUACUUUGCUCUGCCUGUUCGCACUUGCAACCACUUAAAUCCA